CGCAAGCCCGAGUCCAGCAGAACUUCAUGUCUAUGGUAAUAGCCUGCGAGCGGGUUAUAAUGCACAUAGGCCAUAUUCCUUUGAUGUACUCUGGUUCCAGAAGUUUAUUUUCCUCGCCACGCGGAGAAUGUUAUUUUGUUACAAAGUUGUUGCAAAGGACUUGUUACAAGUUUGUUACAGCAAGCAGACAUCAAGUUGUGUUCGUUCUGCUUGUUUUCAACAUGGCUUAUUUUCAACACGUUUUCAUUUCAAAAACCUGUUAACGUGAAAUUUGUUAGACAUUCUUCUACCAAAUAAAACCUCUGGAACCAGAGUACCGUAUGAUUUUACUGUCUAUUAGGGACCUUACGAUUUUGGAACGGCAACGCGACGGCGACGGCUACCAAUACAAUAGAUCAUUGAAAAGAAUUGAGUAAUUACAAUAUAUGAAUAAUUUAGACAUUGUCCUCGCUCUGUUUACAACGCCAAAUUACAUAUUUUCACGUCUUGAUACAACGGCUGCAUUCCAAGACACUGACAAGUGCAACUUCGAACUGGGUUUAUCAGAACUCUUCACAACCAUAAAACCCAUGUCUUAAACUUCUAAAAAUGUAUUAAAUUCAUACGAUUGAUAAUAUACGACGAACUAUCUUUACACCAUUUAUUUGAAGGAGUUUGUUUUGGCCGUCGCGCCAUCGCGUUGCCGUUCUAAAAUCGUAAGGUCUCUAUUGGUCGAAUACGACGUUGAAUAGGUUAGGAAUACUUAAAUAUUAUACAGUAUUUAAAAUAUUGUAAAUAAUUGUGCGGUAAGUUAAUAACACAAUGUUUAUAUGAAAUUAUGCGAGGUGUUUCUGUUAAAGAAAUAUAUAACAUUUGCAGUUGAAAUUCAGCUCUUGAUAAUUUGAUGUUUUUUGUAACAUAUGUUAUAAGAAAAUGUAACAUUUUAAGAAUAAAUAUAUUGGCAUUUGGUGAAUAUGAAUUACAUGCAGACCAUGAGGUACUGGGAGUUUUCAACUAUUCUAUUUUUCGCAGCUGUUCGG
Molecule: non-coding RNA, 1019 nt
Organism: Paramuricea clavata
Lineage: Eukaryota; Metazoa; Cnidaria; Anthozoa; Malacalcyonacea; Plexauridae
Source: the annotation of a GenBank genome assembly